AAGGCUUUAGCUUAAUUAAAGCGUCUGUUUUGCAAAUAGAAGAUGUGGGUUAGCAUCCCGUAAGUUUUA
Molecule: transfer RNA, 69 nt
Filed under: Girardinus creolus (creole topminnow)
Lineage: Eukaryota; Metazoa; Chordata; Actinopteri; Cyprinodontiformes; Poeciliidae
Description: tRNA-Ala
Rfam family: tRNA
About the family: Transfer RNA (tRNA) molecules are approximately 80 nucleotides in length.
Source: RNAcentral